GAGAGAGAGAGAGAGAGAAGAUGGGUGGUGAUAAGGUGGAUGUAUUACCGUGAAGCUUGAGAAUUGUUAUCACUAAUGUGAUAUUUAUCUGAAUAUGAGUUGUAUUUAGGAGCUGUAGAAAGAAGGGUGGAGAGCUGCACUUGUUUUUGCAUCUGUUGGGUAUCUGUGGGACAUCAUAAACAGCCUAUACGAUUGUACUUGGUUGAGGUAUGGUGAAAGGGAUUAGGAGUAUGAAAUCACUAGAAUUGAAUGAAUUGAAUUUUAAAGCGAGCAAUGAAACUGAAAAGAGAUAUGGUGCAUC
RNAcentral lists this unclassified non-coding RNA (301 nucleotides) under Hevea brasiliensis (rubber tree). The record is from RNAcentral. Lineage: Eukaryota; Viridiplantae; Streptophyta; Magnoliopsida; Malpighiales; Euphorbiaceae.